Molecule: transfer RNA, 70 nt
Filed under: Sinibotia superciliaris (golden Chinese loach)
Lineage: Eukaryota; Metazoa; Chordata; Actinopteri; Cypriniformes; Botiidae
Description: tRNA-His
Rfam family: tRNA
About the family: Transfer RNA (tRNA) molecules are approximately 80 nucleotides in length.
Source: RNAcentral
GUAAGUAUAGUUUAAACCAAAAUAUUAGAUUGUGAUUCUAAAGACAGAGGUUAAAAUCCUCUUACUCACC